RNAcentral lists this ribosomal RNA (819 nucleotides) under uncultured bacterium. RNAcentral describes it as "bacterial SSU rRNA". It matches the Rfam family "Bacterial small subunit ribosomal RNA", at positions 8 to 796 of the family's 1533-position model. The record is from RNAcentral.
AGAGUUUGAUCAUGGCUCAGGACGAACGCUGGCGGCGUGCCUAAUACAUGCAAGUCGAACGAAACUUUCUUACACCGAAUGCUUGCAUUCACCGUAAGAAGUUGAGUGGCGGACGGGUGAGUAACACGUGGGUAACCUGCCUAAAAGAAGGGGAUAACACUUGGAAACAGGUGCUAAUACCGUAUAUCUCUAAGGAUCGCAUGAUCCUUAGAUGAAAGAUGGUUCUGCUAUCGCUUUUAGAUGGACCCGCGGCGUAUUAACUAGUUGGUGGGGUAACGGCCUACCAAGGUGAUGAUACGUAGCCGAACUGAGAGGUUGAUCGGCCACAUUGGGACUGAGACACGGCCCAAACUCCUACGGGAGGCAGCAGUAGGGAAUCUUCCACAAUGGACGCAAGUCUGAUGGAGCAACGCCGCGUGAGUGAAGAAGGUCUUCGGAUCGUAAAACUCUGUUGUUAGAGAAGAACACGAGUGAGAGUAACUGUUCAUUCGAUGACGGUAUCUAACCAGCAAGUCACGGCUAACUACGUGCCAGCAGCCGCGGUAAUACGUAGGUGGCAAGCGUUGUCCGGAUUUAUUGGGCGUAAAGGGAACGCAGGCGGUCUUUUAAGUCUGAUGUGAAAGCCUUCGGCUUAACCGGAGUAGUGCAUUGGAAACUGGAAGACUUGAGUGCAGAAGAGGAGAGUGGAACUCCAUGUGUAGCGGUGAAAUGCGUAGAUAUAUGGAAGAACACCAGUGGCGAAAGCGGCUCUCUGGUCUGUAACUGACGCUGAGGUUCGAAAGCGUGGGUAGCAAACAGGAUUAGAUACCCUGGUAGUCC